UAAACUGCAGCAUUUUGCUUUUAAGUCCCUG
Molecule: non-coding RNA, 31 nt
Filed under: Rattus norvegicus (Norway rat)
Lineage: Eukaryota; Metazoa; Chordata; Mammalia; Rodentia; Muridae
Source: RNAcentral